Cajanus cajan (pigeon pea) is the source of this 666-nucleotide long non-coding RNA. RefSeq lists it as uncharacterized. NCBI's taxonomy places the organism in Eukaryota, Viridiplantae, Streptophyta, Magnoliopsida, Fabales, Fabaceae. The record is from RefSeq and is a predicted model, not a curated record.
UGAUGUGGGCCGCACGGUUAAGCAUGAGUUGAAUUAAUUUUGUUAGGCCCACGCACGCCACGAGCACAACGCUAGAAGGCGACAAAGAAACCACCCAAACUCAAUAACCGGAUCAAGCAGUUCCUUUCAUUUUCAUCGAUCGGAGAAAACUGAAAUAAAACUACCACCGCCUGAGGUCUCUCUCUCUCUUCCGCGCUACCAUCGUUGGAUUUUCUGGCUACAUCAAUUUAUACAACUAGAUCCGUGCGAAGGAUAUCCUUUCGCUUUCACUUGUUAGAUCUACACGAUACGACAACCUAUGCAAGGUGAAUGUCGGAGUUCCAUUCAUGAAAUUUUCAUUUCAUAAGUGUCGCAUAAUGGUCGCAUAGCGGAGUGGAUAUCGCGUUAGACUCCGGAUCUAAAGGUCGUGGGUUCGAAUCCCACUGCGAUCGCUUCCCCUUUUUUCUUCUUCUCAAAAUACUGCUUUUCGUUUUUUUUUUUUUCUUGUUUUUUCCGUCUGUAUUUGAUUUGUUCCCAAUAAUUUGCCCUAUUUGGGAAUUGCGUGGUUGUGAUUAUGCAAACUUUUUUUUCUCACAAAUAAUGUAUUUGGCUUUUGACAAAUGAGUGACAAAAUCAAUUGAUCACUAAUCUAACAGGAGCUGAUCAAACUUGUUGAAUUUGAGCAAA